Molecule: small nucleolar RNA, 129 nt
Organism: Spea bombifrons (plains spadefoot toad)
Lineage: Eukaryota; Metazoa; Chordata; Amphibia; Anura; Pelobatidae
Product: small nucleolar RNA SNORA69
Exons: 1
Source: RefSeq, a predicted model, not a curated record
GAAGCAGGUUGCAAUUGCAGUUCUUCAUUCAAUUGGUUUGCUGCCAUUAUCCUGCUGAGAGUAAAGAUGCCAGUUGUCUUUCAGAUUUCCCCUUCAUGUAGGAGAAAUCAUACACUGGCAUUGACAGUG